This 95-nucleotide small RNA is filed under the name Arabidopsis thaliana (thale cress). RNAcentral describes it as "ATSL010170". Lineage: Eukaryota; Viridiplantae; Streptophyta; Magnoliopsida; Brassicales; Brassicaceae. The record is from RNAcentral.
CAAAACCACAUUUAUACCAAACCGCAUCAUAAAAUAAAAUAAAAAUUCUUAAGGCCUGUUUUGUAGAUUUUGUAAGAGUUUUUGGUUUUUGUUUU